RNAcentral lists this ribosomal RNA (114 nucleotides) under Betta splendens (Siamese fighting fish). The record is from RNAcentral. Lineage: Eukaryota; Metazoa; Chordata; Actinopteri; Anabantiformes; Osphronemidae.
GCUUAUGGCCAUACCACCCUGAGCACGCCCGAUCUCGUCUGAUUUCGGAAGCUAAGCAGGGCCUGGUUAGAACUUGGAUGGGAGACUGCCUGGGAAUACCAGGUGCUGUAAGCU